AGUGUGGCCUGCAGGUCUCUGCCACCACCAUCACACUAUCCCCAGGGCCCAUCCCAGCAGACAUUGCCCAGGGCCUGGCCCUGUACCGGCGCAAGAUUGACCUAGAGUCGUCCCCCCGGGACUCUCCUCCACUCGGGGCUUCCGCCAACAACUCCUGUGCGCGUGUCCGUUCGGCCCUCUUCGAGCGGGUCUCCUUCAGCGAGAUCAGCCAGGAGUUGGAUGCGGUGCUGAUCCGCACUGGCGUGCUCCCAUCAGAGUCCCUGAUCAUCGUGCAGACAGAGCAUGUACCCAAGAUGAUUGUGUUCCAGGCUCAUCCCCUAUUGGUUGAGAACGCAGCAGUGGUUCCACCUCCGUGUGACGUCCCUGUCAGGUAUAAGUGCAGCUGUGCCUCAAUGGUGGGCGCCCUCGAAGACGUGGUGGCACCAUUGGAGAUGGCCGGUGCAUCUCAGCCUAGCUAUCCCAUCUGUGAGAGAGCAGGUCCCGUGGUGGCGAGACCAGCUGCUAUGGUCGCUGAGCCUGAGGAGUCUCCAGCCCUUGGAGACAAGGUUGUACCCCUUGAGGUCCACUCUGCACCAGUCAAACCCCAGGAGAUGACACCCUCAAGGCACUCCAUCCCAGUUGGAACACUGGAGCUCCCUGUUUCAGCCCCUGCUGUGUCUGACUCCCCUGCUGUGUCUGACUCCCCUGCUGUGUCUGACUCCCCUGCUGUGUCUGACUCCCCUGCUGUGUCUGACUCCCCUGCUGUGUCUGACUCCCCUGCUGUGUCUGACUCCCCUGCUGUGUCUGACUCCCCUGCUAUGUCUGACUCCCCUGCUAUGGCUGUCCAAGAGGCGCAGAUUAGUUUGACCGAUCGUCCUCUCUCAGUCAUCCUACACUCCCUCUCUGGUGCAACUUCACCAUCCGAGACAGCAGAGGAUGUGAUGCUGGUUCCUAUGGUAGUGUCCCCUCCUGAAUCAGUCAAAAGGGUGGUGAGAGAGUCCUCUGAUCUUCUGUGUCCUCUUCCUGCAGCGACAUUGGAGACUGAGUCUGUUAGUGGGAUUUGUCCCCCUCCUUCUCCAGUGACUGUGGAGAUCCAGUCUUCCAUUCUGGCUUCUCCCCUUACUGCUGCAACCGUGGAGACAGAAUCCUCCAAUCAAAUUUGUCCUUCUUCUGUGGUCAGCGUGGAGACUGAAUUGGCCGAUAUGCUAUCUCCUUCUGCUGCAGAGACAGUGGAGGCCGAAUCUUCUGUUUUGACCUGCCCCCAUACUGCAGUGACCCUCGACUUUGUGGCCCCUGUUUCUGUGUACCUUCCUGUUGUGGCACCAGAAGAGACCGGUGUCCCCAGUGUGAAGCUCCCAGCUCCCGUGCCUGCCUUGACAGAGGAAACUCAGUGCCAGUCUGCUUCACCAUGCCUACCCACCCUCACGGCCGCAGGAGAGUCCAGAACCCCCUUCUUGGUCUACCUCCCACUGCCUGCUCCAGAGCUGGCUAAGACCCCUGGUCUGUUGUGCCAACUCGGCCUGGGACCAGAGGAAGCCAAGAGCUUCCCUUUCCUGUGUCUCCCUAUUUCUGACAUCCCCAGGACCCCAAGUCUUGUGACUGCCAGCCUGGCUCCAGCUCAGACUGCGGCUGUGGCUCCUGCUGCUGCUCCGGAUUUACCAAGGACCAACCUCCCUGGAGUGACAGAUAUCCCCAGGACCCUGAGUUAUGUGGCGGCUGGAGCUCAGGAGCUACCACGGCUCCAGAGCUAUGCGGCUAACACCGCUGAAGUCCAGGAUCCACCGAGGACCCCCAGCUAUCUGGCUAACACCCCUGGAGUUCAGGAAAUACCACACAACCCCAGCUAUCUGAAAAACUCAGCUGUCUUCCAAGAUAUGUGCUAUAUGUGCCCCUCUGUUACCGCCUCCAAUCUGUCCAGGAACAAUAGCUUUGUGCACUCUCCGGCUGCCAUGGCUCCACAGCAGCUGAUUAGGGGCCCGUGUAUGAUGUCUCUGUACCCCCAGGGAGGGCCUGUGAUGGGCCACUGUACCCACUCCCCAGGACAGUGUCCUGCGUCUCUGCAGCAGCAGGCUGACAUGGCUCCGCUCACCCACGGACAGCAGACCAACACCAACUUCAUGCCCAUUUGUUCUCAAGGGCCAAGCCUGUGUAGCUGCCUCGGCAGAACUGGCAGCCACUGGCGCCUCUGUCACCUGACGCGACCCGAGUCCCAGGGCAGGGUGGGCGGCAUGAUCUGCCCCUACCAGAACUCCCAGACCAUGAUGCACUGCAACAGCCUGGAUCACAUGGCCAACAUCCCCAUGUACCAGGACUGUGGCCACUACUCUAGCAGCUGCCACCUGCUGCCACCGUGCUCCCAGUCGUCCCACGGCAGCCUGCACACGCACCACGUGGCCGAGCCCCGUUGCUCUGCUCACAACCUGGGCACCUCCUUCGUCCAGCCCCAGAACUGCUCCUCCGACCCUCUCUUCCACUACCCCCAGCAGUACCACCUGGUGGCCACCCCCUCCCAGGAGAGGCAGCAGGCCCUGUGCCCUCUCCAGUGCCCACUGCUGCAGCAGCGCCACAGCUCCCUGCUCUUCUGUGGGCACCAGGGGGAGCUGAGCAGGCUGGGCUCCUCCAGCUGUGUCCCUGCCACCAACCAGAGACAGAACCAGGGAGGGGUGGAGCAGAAGAACAACAACCCCAGCUGCGUAUCGCUUCAUAACAAAAGAUUAGACACGAGCGCAAACAACAAUCAAGGCUGCGUCAUGAACUGCAAUCCCCAGGGCAACUAAUCCCGUCUUCACAUGAGAAGGACCUUAUUUUUGCAGUUGCCAAUGACAGACAUGGGGGAUGAUGAAGUUGACCAAGAAAAGUGACGGAUCAAAUGAAGUUUUUCCAUCCGCAUUGAAUUCUUGAAAUAAAUACAAUUCAUC
Molecule: long non-coding RNA, 2897 nt
Organism: Oncorhynchus tshawytscha (Chinook salmon)
Lineage: Eukaryota; Metazoa; Chordata; Actinopteri; Salmoniformes; Salmonidae
Source: Ensembl